UACGUAGGGGGCUAGCGUUGUCCGGAAUCAUUGGGCGUAAAGCGCGUGUAGGCGGUUCGGUAAGUCCGCUGUGAAGGUCGGGGGCUCAACCCUCGGAUGCCGGUGGAUACUGUCGGGCUUGAGUACGGAAGAGGCGAGUGGAAUUCCUGGUGUAGCGGUGAAAUGCGCAGAUAUCAGGAGGAACACCAAUUGCGAAGGCAGCUCGCUGGGACGUUACUGACGCUGAGACGCGAAAGCGUGGGGAGCAAACAGG
This 253-nucleotide ribosomal RNA is filed under the name uncultured bacterium. RNAcentral's name for it is "partial 16S ribosomal RNA". It matches the Rfam family "Bacterial small subunit ribosomal RNA", at positions 524 to 776 of the family's 1533-position model. The record is from RNAcentral.